AUGCCAACAUUGCAUAACCAACAAAAAGGCAAGUUUUCAGAAAGACAAUUAACGAGUAAUGAGUUUGGAGAACUUUGGAGAAUUCAUGGGACGGAUUCUACUGUGAAUUGUUAAUUUCCGUAACGAAGUAUAAGGUUAACUGGACGCUCUCGAAACAACCGGUGCUUACACGCCCAGGAAGCAGGAAGGAGAAGAAGGAUGCAACGAUAAAAUCAUUCGAGUCGUUGCCCGAAAACAGGCAGUCGAAAGCAUCAUGAGACUUCGUGAGAGAUGCAAUCGUCGCAUCGUUUCUAAAUCACACAAAUCAAAUGAAAACUUGGCAGAACAUCGUGUUCGAUUCUUAUUCUUAUAAAACGCAAUACAGGGUGCGCACAUUCCCAUGACAGGAAGACUGAAAUUAGGUUUCCUGCCGAGUGCACGAACCGAAAGAUAAUUCCUUUCCAAGCUGUAUAAAGUCGUACGAACAAGGAAUUAUUUUUUUUUCUUAUCACACUAUUCAUUCCUGUUCUUUUCCGGAAUAAGUUUUACGGAUAUUAAAGGAUAGGGAAAAUCUACGAUUGGAAACUUUUGCAUUAAAAAGUUUAUUCAUUAUAAUCAGGAUUAUCAGUUUUUCUCGAGUUCUAUUUUAAUCUAGAGAGAAAUUUCAUUGAAGAAAUCAAAUCCUCUAUAAUUGAAAUGAAAUUUCUGCAGCAUUCAUUGAAGGAAAAGGAACGAGAAUUUCCGUCAAUCUUUUAAAAAGUCUAUUAUCUUUUGCACGAGAGUUUACUCAUGACUACUAGGUCUAAGGACGUGAAGUCGAUGUCGGUGGCGGCGACGCACCGAGCGUGCUUCCUGCCGCUUGACCGGAAGUCGCGAGUCAGAGGCUCGGCUCUACGUAGGCGUUACGCUUCCUUACGCGUAUCUACACCGUCUCGCUACCCAGUUUCUCCUCUGCCUCGUUGCUGCUCUCCGUGGAAGACCCUUCGGCGCUCCUCGAGGAACCUUCUUUCAAGGUCAUCCUAUCCGGGCCAACUUUUCUUCCUCUCUUUCGUAAUCUUUCUCUCUUUCGUUCUUUUAUCUUUUCUCUAAUUU
Long non-coding RNA from Apis dorsata (giant honeybee), 1071 nucleotides. RefSeq lists it as uncharacterized. The transcript has 4 exons. The record is from RefSeq and is a predicted model, not a curated record. NCBI's taxonomy places the organism in Eukaryota, Metazoa, Arthropoda, Insecta, Hymenoptera, Apidae.